Molecule: long non-coding RNA, 1319 nt
Filed under: Helianthus annuus (common sunflower)
Lineage: Eukaryota; Viridiplantae; Streptophyta; Magnoliopsida; Asterales; Asteraceae
Description: hypothetical non coding rna
Source: RNAcentral
GUGUGUGUGGUCGAUCGCACAAGGCAGAGGGAAAGGGGUAAACCCUAAUUCUCAAGAAAUCUCCAAAUUGAAAAGGGAAUUGAAGGUUUUUAGGAUGCAUGUAUCAAGAUUAUCGAUCUCCUAAGUGUUCUUCACUAUCAAGAACGUGUCAAGGAGAGGUCAAGCAUAGGAGGAUAACGGGUCAAGAUAAGGCAAGGUGACAAAUACACUUAAUGGAGUACUCGAGGUAAGUGAAUUUCGAUUCACUUUUUAGUAGGUUUAAUAGAUUUUAAUACUUAUGUUUACGAAACAUCAUGAAAGAACAUGUAAUAAUCAGAAGUACAAAGCCAAUAAUGCCUCAUUAUUGAGGAAGGUUGUAUUUAAGCCGAAAGUAAAUUGGUGGGUUUAAACGGGUCGAAUUUUAUGUGCAUAUGUUGCGUAAUGUAAUGAAAUUCGUUAUGGUUAAGACCUUGGGUAGGAAUUUUUAGUCAUUAUGUAAGGGGAACACUUCCCGGACCAUUAGGAACAAGUUUUAUAUGAUUCGGUUGUCGGUUAGUUAAUGAACGGAUUGUUUCAUGUUAGUGUAGGAAAUUUUAUAAGUAUAUGUGUAUAGGAACCCAAAGGGCACGUGGGUUGAAUCAUAGAUUGUCUAUACUAUGUAAAGUUGUGAAUGUGACAUUCCGGCAUAAACCUACAUGUAAAAGAAGCUUGUGUAUAUAUUCGUGAUUAAUUGAUUGUGCGUAGGAAGGAACAUUGGCAUGUAUGAAGGUACGCAUGUAUAUGUAAGUGUGUAUAUAUACAUAUAUGUAUGUAUGUAUGAUAAUAAGUACGUAGGUGUGAAUGUAUGUGUGAAUGAAUGUUCAAUGCUUAAGACAUAUGCAUGAACGUUAUCAAAGUGUUCGAGUAUUUAUGGUUACUAAUGAUGUGCGUCGAGUUGGAAUGUAAUGUAGGUAUGGGAUCGUCGGCUUCAUGAAGAAAUGGAGCUGGAUUUGGAUAAGAGUAUUUAAGAAAGCGCUUGGACAAUUCCACGACUACUUUAUAGAAUGCUCUACGAAAUUCUAUUAUAUAGUUUAAUGUUGUAUGGUAUGUUAAUGACUAAUGGUUUGGUUGUACGUGGUGUCCACAGGUAUCGCUUGGGUUUUCUCUACAUUUAUUGAAGUGAAGCGGACUUAGUUCGAGUUGAGAGCAAGGAUUGUACGGGGUAGAAUGGUCACAUAGUGUAACUCAUAUAGAUUUUGAAGUAUUAAUGUUAUAAAUCCGUUUUAAUGAAUAUAUGGCUUUUCGCAUUUGAACCUUCAUGUGUUUGAUAUGUCUAUUAAAGAACGAAAUUUUUGGGCUCU